RNAcentral lists this long non-coding RNA (5187 nucleotides) under Marmota monax (woodchuck). Lineage: Eukaryota; Metazoa; Chordata; Mammalia; Rodentia; Sciuridae. The record is from RNAcentral.
GGCCGCGGCUGGGGUGGAAGGUCAGCGUGCGGCCAGGCUCGAGGGCAGCCUGUGGCUGGGAUCCUGAACAGGUCAAUAGCUUGGGUCAGAAACCAGUCUUGUUGGGGUCAGAGGCCCCUCGCUGGCCGGGGACAGGAGCUGGACUCUGGCCAGGAUCAGAACGUCGCCUGUGGCUGACACUGAGGUCACCCUGUGGUUGGAGGUCCUGAGGGAGCCGGUCAGGCCAGUGUCCUUCUCUGUCUCUGCCAGUCCCCGCGUCCUUGCUUCGUGUCCUCCUCGGACAGACCGGUGGACGCUCAGCCUCGGGUCCCCAGGGGGGACAGAAGCAGGGUCUGGGCCAGGUCCUCUGAGGCUGGCGAGGGUGGGCAUGAGGGAGGGGACAGCGUGGCAGCGUGGUGGCAGGAGGGUGCAGGUCUAGGUGUCCUCGACUCUGCACCCGUGGGCUCCGCGCCCUUGAACCCAACCAACUGCUGACUGAAAACUAUUUUUUUUUUAAAUUGCGUCUGUUUAGAACAUGUGCAGACUGUCCUCGUCACUGCAGAGUGACAGGGACCCCCAUGCACAGUGAGAGUGCUCACAGGGUAUCUCUAGUGAUCUGGAGAGGACUUACCGGGGACGGAGGGUGUGGGCAGGUCACCGGGACCCCCAUGCCAUUCCAUACAAGGGGCUUGCGCAUCCGUGGACAACGGUGUCUCUGGGGCACCAGGUGGGGUCAGGCACAUCUGCAAUCCCAGUGCUUGAGAGGCCGAGGCAGGAGGAUCAACAGUUUGAGGCCAACCUUGGAAACUUAGCGAGGCCCUGUGUCUAAAUAAAAGAUAAAAAGGGCUGGGGACGUGGCUCAGUUGAGUGAUCCUGGGUCCAAAGAAAAGAAAAGGAGAAACACAAGCCCAGCCCUAGCCAACUGGAACUGCGCAUGCGCAAUAUACCGAAUCGUGUGGGCGGGGCGAUUUUUUUUUUCCUCUUGGAUCUCUGUGGGUUUUUAUUAUUAUUAUUAUUAUCAUUAUCUUUUUCUUUUUAAUUUUUUGGUACCAGGGAUUGAACUCAGGGGCACUCAACCACUGAGCCCCAUCCCCAGCUCUAUUUUGUAUUUUAUUUAGAGACAGGGUCUCACAGAGUGGCUUAGGGCCUCGGUUUUGCUGAGGCUGGCUUUGAACUCGCGAUCCUCCUGUCUCAGCCUCCUGAGCCCCGGGGAUGACAGGCGUGCUCCACCAUGCCCAGCUUCUUUGUCCUUUUUAUACGAAAGUAACAUUAAGUUGAGAACGUUGCCAUUUCUUUGAUGGUGAUUUACACCCUCCCCUCCCCCGUCCACAGAGCCUUCGGUAUUCCAUCCAGAACAAGGGCAGCCGCCCAGUUAAGGCACCGGCGUGGGCAGGCAUGCUGCUGAGGGCCUCGCCUGCACCAACGUACUCCACUCCCCCCACACCGCCUCCAUGGAGAUACUAUUAUUUCCCCCACUUUACAGAUGAAGCAAGCACAGAGAGGUCGCCUACUGGCCCGGUGCCACACAGCUGGCCCUUGGCGCUCCCUGAUGCCUAGUAUUCCUCAGGCUCUCCUUUGGGGGGCUGGCGGGGUUGUGGGAGAAUGAAGGGAGGAGGAAGGUGGGGUUAGGUGGGUGCGGUCUCUGCGGCCGGGUUCCCCGCCCCCCGCGGGACCUUGAGCAGCUGAGAUGAAGACGGGCGCUGGGGCCCCUGUGGGCCGCCAGGGGGCAGCAGGAGUCAAGCAGCCGAGCUUUGGGGCGCUUUGCCGGAGGCUUUUCUGUGGCCAUCAGUGGAAGCCGGUGAGAUCUGAGCCAAGGGCUGAGUGACCUGCUGGGAACACUGGGGCUAAUCAAGAUCACCUGGUGUCGCAAUCUGUCAUGUGCUUCCCACGCCACCGCCGCGCGCCUCCCUCCUCUCCUAUCUAGGAGGAAACUGAAGCCCAGAGAGGUUAAGUACCUUGCGCCUGGUCACACAGCACCGAACUGGAGGAGGCCGAGGGUCCAACGAGGCAGAGGGCGCGGCCCCGCCCCUCCAGGCCGCACGGGAGAGAAAAGCUGGUGACUUGCCCCUUACAUCACGGGCAAGUCCCACGCGGGAACAUGGGGCCCUGACGGCACCGGGUGAGGUCAGGCCGCCCCUGCAGCGGGGGCUCGAGAACGCGCUGGGUUUUUUUCUCUCUCUUUUUGGUUUUUAAUUAAUGACCUCCGUGGGAAAAUAAUGCCAGAGGGUUGUGAACAGGAUGUCAGGGAGGGACUUCUCCAAACCCAGCCGCCCACGGGUGCCAGGUGCCCGGGGCACGGGGUUUCCGGUGGCUUCCGAAACGGGCUUUGAAGAGAAAUCCAAGCAGAUGCACUCGGGAGCCCCUGGGACCCCAUCUUUGUCAAAGCAGGAGUGGGGUGUGGUAUUGGGAGGGACCCCCCAAGGGGGCAGCUAGAGGCCCCCCAGAGCCAGCUGGGCCCUUCCAGAGGGGACCAGGCCAUCCCCAGCCGGCUCUGAUGGUGCCACCAGCACCCUGCCCAGUCCCCACCACGCUGACUGCCAGGAGAGGGGCUCCGACCUGCCACCCCCUCCCCGUGGCUCUUGGGGUGCCACGUGGGUGCAGUCUGUUCCCCCUGGUUUUCCUCCCUUCUAGAUCUUUCUCUCUUGCCUUCUAGGCCGAGGUGAAGGAAUAAAUGUCGUAGGAAUCAAGUUUAAAUGUUAGUAAACAAUUUAGAGCAAAGAUAAUCGCUGACGGAUGGCCAUGGAGUGAGAUCGUAAGGUCCUCGGUCGCACUGGCUGCCCGUCCGGGCGAGAGGCCACCUCAGAACAAGCCGGGAGAUCUUUCUGCUGCGAUUUAAACACAGCGGGACCCCCAGAGCUGGGCUGCGUGGGGUCCCCAGGGGGAGCACGGAGAGGCAGAAAUGGAACCCAGCUCUGGGGACAGAGGGACAGGGGGGCCUCCUGGUGGAGGUCAGGACUGGAUGAGGCCAGCAGGGUGGAGCCCCAGGAUGUUACCUGGUAGAGACCAGGGGACACUGGCGAGGUCCUGAACCACCUGCGGACUCUGCCAGCAAGGAGGCUGUCACCAGGGGUGGCACCUCAGCCUCGGGCCUCUUUUGUUUAUAACUCACCAAGUGUAUGGUGUCCUGUCCUUGGGAACAGGAAGUGGACUGGGGUCAUUCCCCUCUAGCCACAGCUCCGUGGGGUUCAUGGGACUCUAAAACCCCUCCCUAAGAUGACCCUAAGAGGAGCCAGAGUCCCCGCUCCUCCCUCUCCCCAGCCUCCCUUCCUGCAGACUUGAACUAACAUUUGGCCCUGGCUCGGGAUCUCGGCUUUUGUUAGCUUCAACAGUCACCCCUCAAGGAGGAGCUGACCCUAGGUCCCAGUCACCAGGGAGCACCGCCAAGGGGUGGGCAUGAGCCAGGGAGCCGUGAGGGCCAGGGAGGUGCAGGUUGGGGAGGCGCAGGCCGGGGAGGCGCAGGCCAGGGAGGCGCAGGCUGGGGAGCCUGGGGUCAUCAGGAGACCCUGCAUGGAGGCCCGGAGGAGGCCCAGGGGACCGAGAAGCUUUGGUUUCCAAGCCAUCUGCACCUUCUUGUAUCGCCACCUGUGUGCCCAGGCUGGGUAGGGGGACCCACAGAUUCUAUCACCUUUUCUACUUUACAGAUGAGAAAACUGAGGCCCAGGCGGGAUUAAGGGACAGAGGAGUGAGUAGCCAGGCUUCACGCCCACGGCCCUGGGGCUUCCUUGACUUAAUGGGAGAUCAGGGGCCAGGUUUUAAGGACAUUUUUAAAAGGUCCUUCCUUGAUCAAGGAAAUUCUGGGAGGCCUGGCAGUGGGUCCCCUGAUGUGAGUCAGCUCAUUCUGAUGGGGAUCUUUUUGUCCUAGGGCAAAAAUAUUAAUGAGGAGGAUUUCGACCAUCCCAGUUAGUGCUGUCAGGAGGAACGUUCGUUCUCUGCUUCUGCAAGGUGGAAGGGAGCCUUAUUGGGGGAACACUUCCAGUAGUUCCUCUUCUUCUCCUUGGCUCCAGAUUCUGGGGUACCUUAAGUUUGUGUGGGAUUGGGGGAAUUGACAGGAGGCUGCUUUCUAUUGCACCGGGUUUCUUAGUGCGUAGGGCUCACGGGUGUUUAUGCUAAAAUACAAACUCCUCACUCUGGCCCCAUCAUGCCCUGGCCAUGGUCCCUGGCUCACUUCUCCACACUUCUCGUGCCUCAGGGACUUUGCACGUGCUUGACCCUCCUCCAGCAUGUCCUCCCCCCAGUUCAUCCUGGCUUCUUCUGGUCACUGCGGGCUCAGGUCAAAUGUCACCUCCUUGACAGCCUCCCUAAGCACCAUCAGCACCCUGUAUCCGAGCUCUAUUUGCUUUCUUUGCAGCUCCUGCUGGUGUUUGCAACAUAGGCGCUCAAGAUCCCCUGCCCGCCUCCCUGGGACCCACCCCAUUGCUCCAUCUGCUUGGAAUGUUGAUCACCUACAGGAUGAUGAAGAUCCAGCCGCAGGCCCACCACGAACCCUUUCUGUGGUCUUGGCACAGUGUAGCAACCAGGGGCUGGGGUUGCGGCUCAGCGGUGGAGCGCUCGCCUAGCACGUUCGAGGACCUGGGUUCGAUCCUCAGCACCAAAUAAAAAUAAAUAAAAUAAAAGUACUGUGUCCAGCUGCAACGAAAAAAUAUUAAAAAAAAAAAAAAAGGUGUAGCAACCAGGGUUGCCAUCUGCCAUGAGCGCCUCAAACAUGGCCAGCGCUGUCUGAAGUUCCCUCCCGCCUCCAGAGCAGCUGGUAUUGCUGGAGAACUGGCGCCUGGAGACAGUCCUCUGCUAGCGACAGACGGCCCGCCCUCCACCAUUGACAGACGGCCCUGCCUCCACCAAUGAGGGUCGGCCUUCCCUCCACCAAUGACGGACGGCCCUGCCUCCACCAAUGAGGGUCGGCCUUCCCUCCCUUGGAUGACAGACGGCCCUCCCUCCACCGAUGACGGACAGUGCGCUGGGCAUGCGCCAUGAGGCGCUCGUGGCCCAGGCUGGGCGUCCUCUGGGUCACGCCCCUCGUCGCCUCUGUCCCUCCCCAACACCCCCGUAACUGGGUUUCCGGGAUCACUUGUUAAGUCCGCUGACUGCUCUCGGGUCCCGCCCCGGGGAACCCAAACAAAGGCCACCGGGCACUUAGCCCCGAGCCCCGCUCCGCCCGGGGAGGGCCCGUGUGCUCAGAGCCAAAGUCCCCACCGCGGUGCCGCCGUCUGU